UCUCAACAUUUCAAAUAAGCUAUCCUG
This 27-nucleotide non-coding RNA is filed under the name Rattus norvegicus (Norway rat). Lineage: Eukaryota; Metazoa; Chordata; Mammalia; Rodentia; Muridae. The record is from RNAcentral.